RNAcentral lists this ribosomal RNA (253 nucleotides) under uncultured bacterium. Its description in RNAcentral is "partial 16S ribosomal RNA". It matches the Rfam family "Bacterial small subunit ribosomal RNA", at positions 524 to 776 of the family's 1533-position model. The record is from RNAcentral.
UACGUAUGGUGCAAGCGUUAUCCGGAUUCACUGGGUGUAAAGGGAGCGUAGACGGCUUUGCAAGCCAGAUGUGAAAGCCCGGGGCUCAACCCCGGGCAUGCAUUGGAAACUGGCGGGCUGGAGUGCCGGAGAGGUAAGCGGAAUUCCUAGUGUAGCGGUGAAAUGCGUAGAUAUUAGGAGGAACACCAGUGGCGAAGGCGGCUUACUGGACGGCAACUGACGCUGAGGCUCGAAAGCGUGGGGAGCAAACAGG